GCCUGCAUGAAGCUGGAAUUGCUAGUAAUCGCGGAUCAGCAAGCCGCGGUGAAUACGUUCCCGGGCCUUGUACACACCGCCCGUCACACCAUGAGAGUCGGGAACACCCGAAGUCCGUAGUCUAACCGCAAGGGGGCGCGGCCGAAGGUGGGUCCGGUAAUUGGGUGAAGUCGUAACAAGGUAGC
RNAcentral lists this ribosomal RNA (185 nucleotides) under uncultured bacterium. RNAcentral's name for it is "partial 16S ribosomal RNA". It matches the Rfam family "Bacterial small subunit ribosomal RNA", at positions 1314 to 1500 of the family's 1533-position model. The record is from RNAcentral.